This 495-nucleotide ribosomal RNA is filed under the name uncultured bacterium. RNAcentral's name for it is "partial 16S ribosomal RNA". It matches the Rfam family "Bacterial small subunit ribosomal RNA", at positions 28 to 505 of the family's 1533-position model. The record is from RNAcentral.
GAUGAACGCUGGCGGCGUGCCUAAUACAUGCAAGUCGAGCGAACGGACGAGAAGCUUGCUUCUCUGAUGUUAGCGGCGGACGGGUGAGUAACACGUGGAUAACCUACCUAUAAGACUGGGAUAACUUCGGGAAACCGGAGCUAAUACCGGAUAAUAUUUUGAACCGCAUGGUUCAAAAGUGAAAGACGGUCUUGCUGUCACUUAUAGAUGGAUCCGCGCUGCAUUAGCUAGUUGGUAAGGUAACGGCUUACCAAGGCAACGAUGCAUAGCCGACCUGAGAGGGUGAGCGGCCACACUGGAACUGAGACACGGUCCAGACUCCUACGGGAGGCAGCAGUAGGGAAUCUUCCGAGAGGGGCGAAAGCCUGACGGAGCAACGCCGCGUGAGUGAUGAAGGUCUUCGGAUCGUAAAACUCUGUUAUUAGGGAAGAACAUAUGUGUAAGUAACUGUGCACAUCUUGACGGUACCUAAUCAGAAAGCCACGGCUAACUACG